Oreochromis niloticus (Nile tilapia) is the source of this 1973-nucleotide RNA transcript. RefSeq lists it as uncharacterized. The transcript is spliced from 8 exons. The record is from RefSeq and is a predicted model, not a curated record. Lineage: Eukaryota; Metazoa; Chordata; Actinopteri; Cichliformes; Cichlidae.
GCAGACAGUCUGCAGAGAUCAGCGUGUGGAAACAAGAGCUGGAGAUUCACACAGAGUGAGGAAAGUGUUUAUCCUGUGGAGAGAAGCCUUGCUGUCUAAAUUGUCAAAUCAGAAUGUUAACUCUCAUCUGGGUGAUUCUGCUCCUCGCUGACAAAGGUUCUGGGACUCAGUGUUCAAACAGCAACAGCAGUAUCACACUAAGUAAAAAGAAAUGUAUCAGCACAGGCUGGAUUGUGUGUUGUUUUACCAUGUCCUUUUACUACAGACGAUGGUGAUUUUGAAAGUAUAACUUGGUAUAAACAUGAUGGAAACGUAAAUAAAACAAUAUUUGACUCCAGUAACAAUACGAAAGCUGACUCUGAGUUUAAAGGGAGGGUGUCACUGUUUGAGUCUGACCUGAAAAAUAAGAACUGCAGCAUCAUCAUCAAUGAUCUCACCAAGUCGGACUCUGGAUCAUAUCAAGUUGUUUUUAAGACAGAGACUCCCUGCACAUUGAUUUCUGAUGCAAACGUCACAGUCACAGUUACAGAGCUGAGUGAAAGGCCCACACUGGAGAUUCCUGAAAUAACAGAGGGACAGCAGACUACACUGACCUGCAGCGCUCCUGGUCUCUGCAAUGGAUCCACAAUCACCUGGAUAUGGAGUGGAUCAGGACAAAGCGUCUAUGAAAUCAAAGAAAACAACACUGAAUUCAAGUCUAAGAAUCAGACUGGUUUCAAGUCAACUCUGACCUUUAACGCUUCGGCUAAACACAACGGUGGGCAGGUCACCUGUAAGGUCACCUUCAAAAGUGUCACAACAAAUGAGACAAAAACUCUUAAUGUCAAGUAUGCACCAAGAAUCUUGAAUGACUCUAAUUGUAGUGCUCAGUCAAAGGUUUUGACCUGUGUGUGUAUCAGUGAGGGGUUUCCUUCACCCACCAUCAAAUGGCCACACUUGGAGAGCCACACUGAGUACUGUGUAACAACCAAUGUGUCAAACACCAGAGUCACCAGCACCAUCACUGUGUCCCACGAUCACUGUCAGAACACCACUAUUGAAUGUGUCAGCAGUAAUAGUAUUAGAAAUACCUCAUCAAAUGUCAGCCUUAUAAUAAAGGAGUGCAAUGUUAAUUCAUCAUCAUCUGAAGAAAAAAAUAACAAUCUUUACAAACAAGACCCGAAAGUUAUCGCUGCAACAUUGAGGGGCUUUCUGAUUUGUCUUAUUGGGAUCAUUCUUUCAGCAGUCGUUGCUUUUUUGGUAACAAAAUCCAACAGAAAAAACUGGAGGAGGUCUGAAAACCUGGAGACUGUGACCACUGAAGCAGUACCAAUGCUGGAUGCUGAUCAAACAACAGUAUAAGAUGGGAUCCAUGAGCGAGAGGCAGCUGAAGGAGAAACAUAGUCAUGUGAGAACGCAUCGCUGGUGCCGAUGAUGACAUGGCACCAAAGAGGUGGAGAACGUUGACAAUGACGUCUUGCAGUAAAAACCAGGAAGGAGAGAAGAAACAGAAUAUGCUGAAAUAAAGACAGAAAAAAGGGACAAUGAUGAUCAUGUGUUGUUGCAGCACUUACAAAAAAGGAAAAUCAUUCAGAUAUUAGGCUGUGCUGUUUAAUGCAGUCUAAAUAAAACAAUAACAGGGUUUCUAAUAUAGAUGUAGAUCCUGGCAAAGAGGUUUUCAUAAAACACACUCUCGUGUGAUGGCUCCUUGUAAGUGACAGUUCUUAGUGGGGAUUAGCUAAAGAUAUCAAGACAUGCAAUCUUAAUGUAAUACUAUGCUACUCCACUUCAUUUAAUACAAGGAAACUUUGAGGUGUCAACUAUACUGUGUAAUAAAUGUAACAAAUCUACAUAUUAACUCCAACUUCAACAAAAGCAUAACCAAAGUGAAACAGUGUGAAUCUUUGUGGAGACGUUCUUGUAUGCAAAAAAAGCAUCUGUACAUUUCACACAUGUCUGUAUACUGUAUCAGGCAAAAUCAGUAGCUUCAUGUA